AGAGUUUGAAUCCUGGCUCAGGAUGAACGCUGGCGGUAUGCUUAACACAUGCAAGUCGAACGGUCUCUUCGGAGAUAGUGGCGGACGGGUGAGUAACACGUGAGAAUCUGGCUUCAGGUCGGGGACAACCACUGGAAACGGUGGCUAAUACCGGAUAUGCCGGAAGGUGAAAGAUUAAUUGCCUGAAGAUGAGCUCGCGACUGAUUAGCUAGUAGGUGUGGUAAGAGCGCACCUAGGCGACGAUCAGUAGCUGGUCUGAGAGGAUGAUCAGCCACACUGGGACUGAGACACGGCCCAGACUCCUACGGGAGGCAGCAGUGGGGAAUUUUCCGCAAUGGGCGAAAGCCUGACGGAGCAAUACCGCGUGAGGGAGGAAGGCUCUUGGGUUGUAAACCUCUUUUCUCAAGGAAUAAGAUCUGAAGGUACUUGAGGAAUAAGCAUCGGCUAACUCCGUGCCAGCAGCCGCGGUAAUACGGAGGAUGCAAGCGUUAUCCGGAAUGAUUGGGCGUAAAGAGUCCGUAGGUGGCGAUUCAAGUCUGCUGUCAAAGCACAAGGCUCAACCUUGUAAAGGCAGUGGAAACUGAAUGGCUAGAGUGCGUUCGGGGCAGAAGGAAUUCCUGGUGUAGCGGUGAAAUGCGUAGAGAUCAGGAAGAACACCGGUGGCGAAAGCGUUCUGCUAGGCCGCAACUGACACUGAGGGACGAAAGCUAGGGGAGCGAAUGGGAUUAGAUACCCCAGUAGUCCUAGCCGUAAACGAUGGAUACUAGGCGUGGCUUGUAUCGACCCGAGCCGUGCCGGAGCCAACGCGUU
RNAcentral lists this ribosomal RNA (810 nucleotides) under Nostoc sp. SGR11. RNAcentral describes it as "bacterial SSU rRNA". It matches the Rfam family "Bacterial small subunit ribosomal RNA", at positions 8 to 861 of the family's 1533-position model. Lineage: Bacteria; Bacillati; Cyanobacteriota; Cyanophyceae; Nostocales; Nostocaceae. The record is from RNAcentral. RNAcentral also lists the same sequence under 1 other name.